Molecule: ribosomal RNA, 292 nt
Filed under: uncultured bacterium
Lineage: Bacteria
Description: partial 16S ribosomal RNA
Rfam family: Bacterial small subunit ribosomal RNA
Source: RNAcentral
GUGUCAGCAGCCGCGGUAAUACAGAGGGUGCGAGCGUUAAUCGGAGUUACUGGGCGUAAAGGGCGCGUAGGCGGAUGAUUAAGUGAUAUGUGAAAUCCCUGGGCUUAACCUAGGAACUGCAUGUCAUACUGGUUGUCUGGAGUAUUGUAGAGGGUAGUGGAAUUUCCGGUGUAGCGGUGAAAUGCGUAGAGAUCGGAAGGAACACCAGUGGCGAAGGCGGCUACCUGGACAAAUACUGACGCUGAGGCGCGAAAGCGUGGGGAGCAAACAGGAUUAGAUACCCUAGUAGUCC